UACGUAGGUGGGGAGCGUUGUCCGGAUUUACUGGGCGUAAAGAGCGCGCAGGCGGUCGUUCAAGUCGCGUGUGAAAGCCCCCGGCUCAACUGGGGAGGGUCACGCGAUACUGAUCGACUCGAAGGCAGGAGAGGGUAGUGGAAUUCCCGGUGUAGUGGUGAAAUGCGUAGAUAUCGGGAGGAACACCAGUGGCGAAGGCGACUACCUGGCCUGUUCUUGACGCUGAGGCGCGAAAGCUAGGGGAGCAAACGGG
RNAcentral lists this ribosomal RNA (253 nucleotides) under uncultured bacterium. RNAcentral's name for it is "partial 16S ribosomal RNA". It matches the Rfam family "Bacterial small subunit ribosomal RNA", at positions 524 to 776 of the family's 1533-position model. The record is from RNAcentral.